CUUGCUGAGUGACCUCCCUGCU
This 22-nucleotide microRNA is filed under the name Bos taurus (domestic cattle). RNAcentral describes it as "bta-miR-11973". The record is from miRBase by way of RNAcentral. Lineage: Eukaryota; Metazoa; Chordata; Mammalia; Artiodactyla; Bovidae.